This 488-nucleotide long non-coding RNA is filed under the name Phoenix dactylifera (date palm). Its description in RNAcentral is "long non-coding RNA (PDAC_LNC002401)". The record is from RNAcentral. Lineage: Eukaryota; Viridiplantae; Streptophyta; Magnoliopsida; Arecales; Arecaceae.
AGAGAGAGAGAGUUCAGACGCCGGAGCGGACGUCGGCGAACUUGGCCUUGAUCCACUUGAAGCUGCUCCUGACCGAGGACUUGAGCUUAGCUUCGACGGUGAAGACGUUGUAGGCCGCGACACGCCGCUUGCGUUUGAGCUCGGGAUCGCUGGAGGUGGCGAAGCCGUCCCGCUUCCCGCUCGGCCCGUUAAAGCUGUAGGAGUUGGAUCGGAUUUCGUCGAACACACCCGAAUAUGAAGACGAGUACGGGUACUCGGGGAAGGACCUACUCUUCUCCAUUCGCGAGAGCGAGAGUGAGAGAGAGAGAGAGGAGGAGGAGGAGGCGAGGAAAUAAAGAGAGAGGGAGAGAGAGAAUUGAGACAGUGAGGGAGAGCGAAUGAUAGCUUUUAGGUAAAAAUGCAAGGAGAAUUAAUGAUGAUGGAGCUGUGAACGUCGAUAGUGGGGUGCCCCACGUGCGAUGUUGGAAGGGAAUUGCUUUCCUCCUCUC